This is a long non-coding RNA of Uloborus diversus, 517 nucleotides long. RefSeq lists it as uncharacterized. The record is from RefSeq and is a predicted model, not a curated record. The transcript has 4 exons. NCBI's taxonomy places the organism in Eukaryota, Metazoa, Arthropoda, Arachnida, Araneae, Uloboridae.
CCAAAGGUUCCGAAAAUGAAACACUAAGUAUAUUAGGAUGGAUGAUUAGAGGAUAUAUAUAUAUAGGUCGUGUUUCUUUCACAAAAAGUAAUAUUUCAUCCCAAGGUUCUUUCUGAAAGUAUAUUAAUUUAAAGCAUAUUUGCAUCUAUUCAAUGUCUGAACCUAGAUUCCGGUUAAUUACAUUUUUCAAACCUCUGCUUGUCUUCACCCCCGUCAAAAGUCCGAUGUUUCUAAGAAUUGGCUAAAGUGCUUGAAGAUAUGUAGGAAAUCUGGAAAAUUUGAAUGCGUCACACUGCAAGACUGAAUCGAAGGUAGUUCAAAACAGAAGAAGAAAACUGGCUGAAGUUCUUUGGGAGCCCUGUGGUCGGCGCAAGUGGUACCUGAAAUGGUCUUCGAAGAAGCAAAAGAUGAUAGCCAUUCAGGAACAGCAAAUGGUGUCAACCAUGCAACAUCUUCAGCUGUUCCUGUAUUAGCUUUUGAAACCAAGAGAGAAGUUCUCAAUGAAGACUUAUCGGAC